Transfer RNA from Entamoeba invadens IP1, 71 nucleotides. It matches the Rfam family "tRNA". From Rfam's summary of the family: Transfer RNA (tRNA) molecules are approximately 80 nucleotides in length. Their secondary structure includes four short double-helical elements and three loops (D, anti-codon, and T loops). The record is from Rfam. Lineage: Eukaryota; Evosea; Mastigamoebida; Endamoebidae.
GCAUUUGUGGUCUAAGGGCAGAAUUCCACCCUUCCAAGGUGGAGAUCCGGGUUCGAGUCCCGGCAAAUGCA